Molecule: ribosomal RNA, 253 nt
Filed under: uncultured bacterium
Lineage: Bacteria
Description: partial 16S ribosomal RNA
Rfam family: Bacterial small subunit ribosomal RNA
Source: RNAcentral
UACGGAGGGGGCAAGCGUUGUUCGGAAUUACUGGGCGUAAAGGGCGCGUAGGCGGCCUUGUAAGUCUCGUGUGAAAGCCCUCGGCUUAACUGAGGAUCUGCACGGGAUACUGUAGGGCUCGAGUUCGGGAGAGGAAAGCGGAAUUCCGGGUGUAGCGGUGAAAUGCGUAGAUAUCAGGAGGAACACCUGCGGUGUAGACGGCUUUCUGGACCAUUACUGACACUGAGACACGAAAGCGUGGGUAGCAAACAGG